RNAcentral lists this ribosomal RNA (434 nucleotides) under uncultured bacterium. RNAcentral describes it as "partial 16S ribosomal RNA". It matches the Rfam family "Bacterial small subunit ribosomal RNA", at positions 29 to 507 of the family's 1533-position model. The record is from RNAcentral.
AUGAACGCUGGCGGUAUGCUUAACACAUGCAAGUCGAACGGACCCUUCGGAGUUAGUGGCGGACGGGCGAGUAACGCGUGAGAAUCUGGCUUUGGGUUCGGGACAACCACUGGAAACGGUGGCUAAUACCGGAUGUGCCGAGAGGUAAAAGAGAAAUUGCCUGAAGAUGAGCUCGCGUCUGAUUAGCUAGUUGGUGAGGUAAAGGCUCACCAAGGCAGCGAUCAGUAGCUGGUCUGAGAGGAUGACCAGCCACACUGGGACUGAGACACGGCCCAGACUCCUACGGGAGGCAGCAGUGGGGAAUUUUCCGCAAUGGGCGAAAGCCUGACGGAGCAAUACCGCGUGAGGGAAGAAGGCUCUUGGGUUGUAAACCUCUUUUCUUAGGGAAGAACAAAAUGACGGUACCUAAGGAAUCAGCAUCGGCUAACUCCGUG